Molecule: ribosomal RNA, 394 nt
Filed under: uncultured bacterium
Lineage: Bacteria
Description: partial 16S ribosomal RNA
Rfam family: Bacterial small subunit ribosomal RNA
Source: RNAcentral
CCUACGGGAGGCAGCAGUGAGGAAUAUUGGUCAAUGGGCGCGAGCCUGAACCAGCCAAGUAGCGUGAAGGAUGACUGCCCUAUGGGUUGUAAACUUCUUUUAUAAAGGAGUAAAGUGAGGCACGCGUGCCUUUUUGUAUGUACCAUAUGAAUAAGCAUCGGCUAACUCCGUGCCAGCAGCCGCGGUAAUACGGAGGAUUCGAGCGUUAUCCGGAUUUAUUGGGGUUAAAGGGUGCGUAGGUGGUUGGUUAAGUUAGUGGUGAAAGUCUGCGGCUCAACCGUGGAAUUGCAGUUGAUACUGGCAGGCUUGAGUGCAGUUGAGGUAGGCGGAAUGCGUGGUGUAGCGGUGAAAUGCUUAGAUAUCACGAAGAACACCGAUUGCGAAGGCAGCUCAC